GACGAACGCUGGCGGCGUGCCUAAUACAUGCAAGUCGAACGCUUCUUUCCUCCCGAGUGCUUGCACUCAAUUGGAUAGAGGAGUGGCGGACGGGUGAGUAACACGUGGGUAACCUACCCAUCAGAGGGGGAUAACACUUGGAAACAGGUGCUAAUACCGCAUAACAGUUUAUGCCGCAUGGCAUAAGAGUGAAAGGCGCUUUCGGGUGUCGCUGAUGGAUGGACCCGCGGUGCAUUAGCUAGUUGGUGAGGUAACGGCUCACCAAGGCCACGAUGCAUAGCCGACAUGAGAGGGUGAUCGGCCACACUGGGACUGAGACACGGCCCAGACUCCUACGGGAGGCAGCAGUAGGGAAUCUUCGGCAAUGGACGGAAGUCUGACCGAGCAACGCCGCGUGAGUGAAGAAGGUUUUCGGAUCGUAAAACUCUGUUGUUAGAGAAGAACAAGGACGUUAGUAACUGAACGUCCCCUGACGGUAUCUAACCAGAAAGCCACGGCUAACUACGUGCCAGCCGCCGCGGUAA
Molecule: ribosomal RNA, 524 nt
Filed under: uncultured bacterium
Lineage: Bacteria
Description: partial 16S ribosomal RNA
Rfam family: Bacterial small subunit ribosomal RNA
Source: RNAcentral